GUUUGACCUCAAAUCAGGCAAGACUACCCGCUGAACUUAAGCAUAUCAAUAAGCGGAGGAAAAGAAACCAACCGGGAUUGCCCUAGUAACGGCGAGCGAAGCGGCAAAAGUCCAAAUUUGAAAUCUGGCGUCCUACGGGCGUCCGAGUUGUAAUUUGAAGAUGGUAACUUUGGGUUUGGCUCUUGCAUAAGUUCCUUGGAACAGGACGUCAUAGAGGGUGAGAAUCCCGUUCAUGGUAAGAUGCCCAUUCCUUUGUAAAGUGCCUUC
Molecule: ribosomal RNA, 267 nt
Filed under: Blastobotrys raffinosifermentans
Lineage: Eukaryota; Fungi; Ascomycota; Dipodascomycetes; Dipodascales; Trichomonascaceae
Description: partial 28S ribosomal RNA
Rfam family: Eukaryotic large subunit ribosomal RNA
Source: RNAcentral